UCCAACCAGAAAGCCAUGGCUAACUACGUGCCAGCAGCCGCGGUAAUACGUAGGUGGCAAGCGUUGUCCGGAUUUAUUUGGUGUAAAGCGAGCGCAGGCGGUUUUUUAAGUCUGAUGUGAAAGUCUUUCGGCUCAACCGAAGAAGUGCAUCGGAAACUGAGAAACUUGAGUGCAGAAGAGGACAGUGGAACUCCAUGUGUAGCGGUGAAAUGCGUAGAUAUAUGGAAGAACACCAGUGGCGAAGGCGGCUGUCUGGUCUGUAACUGACGCUGAGGCUCGAAAGCAUGGGUAGCAAACAGGAUUAGAUACCCUGGUAGUCCAUGCCGUAAACGAUGAGUGCUAGGUGUUGGAGGGUUUCCGCCCUUCAGUGCCGCAGCUAACGCAUUAAGCACUCCGCCUGGGGAGUACGACCGCAAGGUUGAAACUCAAAGGAAUUGACGGGGGCCCGCACAAGCGGUGGAGCAUGUGGUUUAAUUCGAAGCAACGCGAAGAACCUUACCAGGUCUUGACAUCCUUUGACCACUCUAGAGAUAGAGCUUUCCCUUCGGGGACAAAGUGACAGGUGGUGCAUGGUUGUCGUCAGCUCGUGUCGUGAGAUGUUGGGUUAAGUCCCGCAACGAGCGCAACCCUUAUUACUAGUUGCCAGCAUUUAGUUGGGCACUCUAGUGAGACUGCCGGUGACAAACCGGAGGAAGGUGGGGACGACGUCAAAUCAUCAUGCCCCUUAUGACCUGGGCUACACACGUGCUACAAUGGAUGGUACAACGAGUUGCGAGACCGCGAGGUUUAGCUAAUCUCUUAAAACCAUUCUCAGUUCGGAUUGUAGGCUGCAACUCGCCUACAUGAAGCCGGAAUCGCUAGUAAUCGCGGAUCAGCAUGCCGCGGUGAAUACGUUCCCGGGCCUUGUACACACCGCCCGUCACACCAUGAGAGUUUGUAACACCCAAAGCCGGUGAGGUAACCCUUCGGGGAGCCAGCCGUCUAAG
Molecule: ribosomal RNA, 986 nt
Filed under: Latilactobacillus sakei
Lineage: Bacteria; Bacillati; Bacillota; Bacilli; Lactobacillales; Lactobacillaceae
Description: bacterial SSU rRNA
Rfam family: Bacterial small subunit ribosomal RNA
Source: RNAcentral